CCACCAAAAAUAAUUAUAUAGUUAUCCUUGGGCGAUCUUGGAUCUUAAUUAGUACACUCAUGUUAUCUGUGGAAAAUCGAUACUCUGGAAUACUCUCGGGUGAAAGCUACAUCGGUAUCCGUGCGCUUGCGGAUUUUUCUGUUUGCGUUUAAAAUACCCAACAAGCUUUCUGGCGCCGUUGCCGGGGAAUGGUAGCUGUGCUAGUUUCGAACCAAGUCAUCCGUGUAUCCUUUUUAUUUUUUUUUACCACACUCACCUUAUCAUUUUCACCAUACCACAUGGAUUUCACUCUAAGCAUUAAUGAGCAUGGAAUUUAUUUCAUAGCCACUUCAUUUACUCCAUGCUCUUAUGCAACAUCUUCACAAUCCAUUGGUCUCUCCAACAUCACCACAUUCGAGAUCUCCAACCCCCUCUUCCUUUCUAUUCAUAAAAACUUUAAAAGAGCGGUUGUCGAUGCAUAUGUCUAUAUUAAAUAUUGUAGAUCUCGUUGAGUUGAUCUUGAUAUAGGUCAGCGUUGGAGGGGAAACCACUUUGCCGAUAUAAAUUGAUGGUUUCUCAAGGACAAGCUUAGUGUCCUAAAACAAGCACUGAUCAGAUCGUAACAUGAGCUUUUAAUUAUUUGCAACACUGCCUUGUGUAUCGAGCAUAUAAGGACAAUUGUAAAAAUAUCCCUUCGGGUAUUCUUGUCACUAACCUUUCUAGGAUUGGAGCAAGAAGAUCGGAUGAAUGACAAGCACAAGGAAAACUUUCAAUAUCGACCUGGGAAGUCCUG
This 772-nucleotide long non-coding RNA is filed under the name Sorghum bicolor (sorghum). RNAcentral describes it as "long non-coding RNA (SBIC_LNC017512)". Lineage: Eukaryota; Viridiplantae; Streptophyta; Magnoliopsida; Poales; Poaceae. The record is from RNAcentral.